GGAGAGAUGGCAGAGUGGUCGAUUGCGGCGGUCUUGAAAACCGUUGAACCGAGAGGUUCCGUGGGUUCAAAUCCUACUCUCUCCG
RNAcentral lists this transfer RNA (85 nucleotides) under Tannerellaceae bacterium. RNAcentral describes it as "tRNA-Ser". It matches the Rfam family "tRNA". From Rfam's summary of the family: Transfer RNA (tRNA) molecules are approximately 80 nucleotides in length. Their secondary structure includes four short double-helical elements and three loops (D, anti-codon, and T loops). Lineage: Bacteria; Pseudomonadati; Bacteroidota; Bacteroidia; Bacteroidales; Tannerellaceae. The record is from RNAcentral.